This 253-nucleotide ribosomal RNA is filed under the name uncultured bacterium. Its description in RNAcentral is "partial 16S ribosomal RNA". It matches the Rfam family "Bacterial small subunit ribosomal RNA", at positions 524 to 776 of the family's 1533-position model. The record is from RNAcentral.
UACAGAGGGUGCGAGCGUUGUUCGGAAUUACUGGGCGUAAAGGGCUCGUAGGCGGCCAACUAAGUCGGACGUGAAAUCCCCAGGCUCAACCUGGGAACUGCGUCCGAUACUGGAUGGCUUGAAUUCGGGAGAGGGAUGCAGAAUUCCAGGUGUAGCGGUGAAAUGCGUAGAUAUCUGGAGGAAUACCGGUGGCGAAGGCGGCAUCCUGGACCGACAUUGACGCUGAGGAGCGAAAGCUAGGGGAGCAAACGGG